Molecule: ribosomal RNA, 719 nt
Filed under: uncultured bacterium
Lineage: Bacteria
Description: bacterial SSU rRNA
Rfam family: Bacterial small subunit ribosomal RNA
Source: RNAcentral
CGGCGUGCCUAACACAUGCAAGUCGAGCGAAUGAAUUUCCUUCGGGAACGGAUUUAGCGGCGGACGGGUGAGUAACACGUGGGCAACCUGCCUCAUAGAGGGGAAUACCCUUCCGAAAGGGAGAUUAAUACCGCAUAAGAUUGUAGUACCGCAUGGUACAACAAUUAAAGGAGCAAUCCGCUAUGAGAUGGGCCCGCGGCGCAUUAGCUAGUUGGUGAGGUAACGGCUCACCAAGGCGACGAUGCGUAGCCGACCUGAGAGGGUGAUCGGCCACAUUGGGACUGAGACACGGCCCAGACUCCUACGGGAGGCAGCAGUGGGGAAUAUUGCACAAUGGGGGAAACCCUGAUGCAGCAACGCCGCGUGAGUGAUGACGGCCUUCGGGUUGUAAAGCUCUGUCUUCAGGGACGAUAAUGACGGUACCUGAGGAGGAAGCCACGGCUAACUACGUGCCAGCAGCCGCGGUAAUACGUAGGUGGCGAGCGUUGUCCGGAUUUACUGGGCGUAAAGGGAGCGUAGGCGGAUUUUUAAGUGAGAUGUGAAAUACUCGGGCUUAACCUGAGUGCUGCAUUUCAAACUGGAAGUCUAGAGUGCAGGAGAGGAGAAGGGAAUUCCUAGUGUAGCGGUGAAAUGCGUAGAGAUUAGGAAGAACACCAGUGGCGAAGGCGCUUCUCUGGACUGUAACUGACGCUGAGGCUCGAAAGCGUGGGGAGCAACAC